Molecule: long non-coding RNA, 348 nt
Organism: Haliotis rubra (blacklip abalone)
Lineage: Eukaryota; Metazoa; Mollusca; Gastropoda; Lepetellida; Haliotidae
Exons: 2
Source: RefSeq, a predicted model, not a curated record
UGUGUGUGUGUGUGUGUGUGUGUGUGUGUGUGUGUGUGUGUGUGUGUGUGUUAAGGCCAAAUUGAUUACGUAUUUCAUGAGCGCUUUAUGUAAAUUCCCACUCAGUUCAUGGGAGGUAACUAACUCUAAUUCAGUUUUGCUUUGAAUGUAGUGUCACAUACGCACGCGGUUAUCGUGCAGUGUGGAAUGCAGGGUAGAAUGUGGAAGGACACGUGUGGAGGGAGAGGUGAUACAAAAUGUCACUCGUUCCUUUGCGUCUUGCGUCAAGUUGCCAAGUCUGUGCCACAUGUAUUCAGAACAAGAUGUAAACCGAUUGAGAAUGAAUGCAGUAAUAAAACAAAAAAGAUG